Molecule: transfer RNA, 69 nt
Filed under: Paragavialidium hainanense
Lineage: Eukaryota; Metazoa; Arthropoda; Insecta; Orthoptera; Tetrigidae
Also listed under: 1 other name
Description: tRNA-Gln
Source: RNAcentral
UAUACUUAAGUGUAAGAGGCACUAGGGUUUUUGAUGCUUUAAGGGGUAGUUUAAUUCUACCGAGUAUAA